AUUGAACGCUGGCGGCAUGCCUUACACAUGCCAGUCGAACGGCAGCACGGGUGCUUGCACCUGGUGGCGAGUGGCGAACGGGUGAGUAAUACAUCGGAACAUGUCCUGUAGUGGGGGAUAGCCCGGCGAAAGCCGGAUUAAUACCGCAUACGAUCUACGGAUGAAAGCGGGGGACCUUCGGGCCUCGCGCUAUAGGGUUGGCCGAUGGCUGAUUAGCUAGUUGGUGGGGGUAAAGGCCUACCAAGGCGACGAUCAGUAGCUGGUCUGAGAGGACGACCAGCCACACUGGGACUGAGACACGGCCCAGACUCCUACGGGAGGCAGCAGUGGGGAAUUUUGGACAAUGGGCGAAAGCCUGAUCCAGCAAUGCCGCGUGUGUGAAGAAGGCCUUCGGGUUGUAAAGCACUUUUGUCCGGAAAGAAAUCCUUGGCCCUAAUACGGUCGGGGGAUGACGGUACCGGAAGAAUAAGCACCGGCUAACUACGUG
RNAcentral lists this ribosomal RNA (487 nucleotides) under uncultured bacterium. RNAcentral describes it as "partial 16S ribosomal RNA". It matches the Rfam family "Bacterial small subunit ribosomal RNA", at positions 30 to 507 of the family's 1533-position model. The record is from RNAcentral.